RNAcentral lists this ribosomal RNA (257 nucleotides) under uncultured bacterium. RNAcentral's name for it is "partial 16S ribosomal RNA". It matches the Rfam family "Bacterial small subunit ribosomal RNA", at positions 1243 to 1500 of the family's 1533-position model. The record is from RNAcentral.
AGGGCAGCCAAGUCGUGAGGCGGAGCUAAUCCCUUAAAGCCAUUCUCAGUUCGGAUUGUAGGCUGAAACUCGCCUACAUGAAGCUGGAGUUACUAGUAAUCGCGGAUCAGCAUGCCGCGGUGAAUACGUUCCCGGGCCUUGUACACACCGCCCGUCACACCAUGGGAGCCGGUAAUACCCGAAGUCAGUAGUCCAACCUCGUGAGGACGCUGCCGAAGGUAGGAUUGGCGACUGGGGUGAAGUCGUAACAAGGUACC